Molecule: ribosomal RNA, 467 nt
Filed under: uncultured bacterium
Lineage: Bacteria
Description: partial 16S ribosomal RNA
Rfam family: Bacterial small subunit ribosomal RNA
Source: RNAcentral
GAUGAACGCUGGCGGCGUGCUUAACACAUGCAAGUCGAACGGAAAGGCUCCUGCUUGCAGGGGUACUCGAGUGGCGAACGGGUGAGUAACACGUGGGUGAUCUGCCCUGCACUUCGGGAUAAGCCUGGGAAACUGGGUCUAAUACCGGAUAGGACCACAUUUUGGAUGGUGUGGUGGAAAGUUUUUCGGUGUGGGAUGAGCUCGCGGCCUAUCAGCUUGUUGGUGGGGUAAUGGCCUACCAAGGCGUCGACGGGUAGCCGGCCUGAGAGGGAGUACGGCCACAUUGGGACUGAGAUACGGCCCAGACUCCUACGGGAGGCAGCAGUGGGGAAUAUUGCACAAUGGGCGCAAGCCUGAUGCAGCGACGCCGCGUGGGGGAUGACGGCCUUCGGGUUGUAAACUCCUUUCGCUAGGGACGAAGCGUUUUUGUGACGGUACCUGGAGAAGAAGCACCGGCUAACUACGUG